UUUUACUUCCAGUUGGGCACUGGAUGGUUUCCUCGUAAAACUUGUUGUGUGCUUUAAGUUCCUUUAUGUUUGUUUUUAAUUUCCGCAUAAGUUCCGCGAUUGUAACCUACUAUCAUUCACCCCCCCUCUUGUAGUAGUUCAUCUAAACUAACAAUGGUUAAGUUUGGGUCAUAAUCUUUCUGAAUUGAGUAGCCUGAUCUCCUGCUGUGAUAGAGACAAACUAUUUUAAUUUAGCAAACACCUCAUUCCAUGUAUGAUUAGCCAUAUUUGGACCAAAAUUUCUAUUUUUGUGAACAUGUAUAGUAACAGAUUAAAGGUUAAAAGAACUGUUUGUUUUCAUUAACUUAUUUUCAAGCCAUGAAUGUUUCCUUGAAUUUCAAUAUUCUUAUGUAUAUAUGGUACUAAACAUGACAGAACGUCUUACAUUGCUGUUUCUUCCAACUUGUUUACCUCUGUUGUCAAGUCAGGUUGAUUGCCUCUGUCAAACUACAAUUUGCACAAUGUAUCCUAAAACAGUUGUCUGAUUAUGCCUUUUUAAUGCUAAAACUCAUAUAAUAUUAACCUUUUUAUGCUUAAUUUAAAUCUUAUGUAGAGAACAUGAAACGACUUAUUGAAGAUGAGGAGAUGAUGAAAAAGAAAUCAGAAUAUCGCAACAAUAAGAAGAGGCAAAAAGAAGAAAAGGAGAAGAAUGUAACAGACCUUGUCAUGCUCAAGGAAAGUAUUAGUGACAUGGGCACGGGCAUCGAAGAGGAUAACGGAGCUAGUUAUCCUAUCUUAGAUAGAUGGCAACCUGUCGAGUUCAAUGUGCCCUAUAAUGUCAGACUAGAAGAAAAUAGUGGCGAACAUUACUUCAUUGGUACCCUACAAAGUAACUUCUACAAGCUCAAAAAGUCUUUCAUAAAAGCAUCUAGCCAUCAAUCUAACAGUUGUGAAGAGUUAGUAUCAUUGUGCAGCAAACACGAAAGUUUAAUAAAUGUUGAACACAUAAUAUCAAGCCCCUUUAUCACGUUUGAGAGAUAUAUAGUAACCGAUUUAGUGUAUUCUCUGGAGAACUUUUUUGAUCUUGAGUAUCAGAAACUCAAGAGUACUGACAAAUUUGCUGAUGAGACAUUAAUUUGGAAAAUGUGGUGGGAGCAUAUUUCUAAGAUUUUCUAGAGAAUCUUUAGGGAUGUGGCUAGAGGUUUGAUGUUUUUGCAUGAGAAAACUGAUUACGUUUGUGGGGAUUUAUCAUUCAACACUUACGUGACAGUUGGUGGUAGGGGGUGAAUUCUACCCUCCUUGGAUAAGUCCAAGAAAGAUGCAGUAGAUGUGACUCAAUUUUUUCACCUACUGAAGAAUAUUGUAUAUUUUCCUUUCUUGGGAAAAUCUACUCCUGCCAUUGCUCUUCCGAGUGACUUGAGUAAACUCUUGAAUUUCAUUCCCUGCAUUCAGAAGAAACCGACAUAUGUUGUUAUUAAUCGUCCAUUUUUUUGGACGGUUCAAGAGAAAAUUGAGAUUUCCGUGAAGUGUAGGAGGUUUAUCAAAAAGGAAUCACACAUAGAGAAGGCUCUUGAAGAGAUGUUCACUGAAAAUUCUAUUUUCAACAAAUGGUGGACUGGACUUGAUGGUGUUUAUAAAGCGUUAUAUACAACUGCUGAAAACAAAAGGGAUAUGGCUAGUUACCGUUACAAUGUGGAUAUUGUACGAUUUUUCAAUGCGGCUUAUUCCCACAUUAAUGACACGAUCUACGAGAGAGCGCAACGGGGAGAAAUAUACUGAUGUUCAGAUUGAGAGUGGUUUGAUGGCAUAUUUUCCUGAUUUUUACGAUGUUAUAACUGAAUUUGUUUGUCAAUGUAUAAAUGCUAUGCAAAUAAGAAAAGAUGAAGAGAUGAAGGAAUUCUACAAUUUACUUCCGAGUUGAUCAUCGAUGAGAUUUUCUAAUGACCCUGCUUAAUUCUCUGAUGCCAAUCAUGUCAAAGGCUGGUUCUUGUGGAGGCGACUUUGUCAAUAUAGGGCGCAACUCAAGCUCUGAAAUUUCAUCAAGCUUGUUAAACUUCUAAAACUUUAGCACAAAUACUCUAUUUUGUUUAGUCUUAAAAAUCACAUAUAUCAAUUUUGUUUCUUCACCAUUUCUAGAUAUACAGUAUGUGCUUGGUUUUAUAUGAAACUUUUGUUUCACCUUGUAUGACCUUGUUACUAUUCAUGUUAAUAUUUGAACUAUUACAUUAGUGAA
This is a long non-coding RNA of Chenopodium quinoa (quinoa), 2212 nucleotides long. RefSeq lists it as uncharacterized. Lineage: Eukaryota; Viridiplantae; Streptophyta; Magnoliopsida; Caryophyllales; Amaranthaceae. The record is from RefSeq and is a predicted model, not a curated record. The transcript has 8 exons.